Long non-coding RNA from Ornithodoros turicata, 253 nucleotides. RefSeq lists it as uncharacterized. The record is from RefSeq and is a predicted model, not a curated record. Lineage: Eukaryota; Metazoa; Arthropoda; Arachnida; Ixodida; Argasidae. The transcript has 2 exons.
GCCCCGCAGUGCUGUGACUGUAUUUCAUGCCUUACUAGUGGUAUCUGGACCUGUUUCUGUGUGUGUACCUUGGAAGACCGAAAGCUGUUGGAUUUCGUGAAUUGAAGAUGCCUACAAGAAAUAUAUCUUAGAGCUGUCAUCUAGCAUGAUCUGUAAAGGUGUUGAAGACGCUGUACAUCAGGCAAGAGUGUGAUUGUUCAACAGACAUGUCACAGGGAUGAUGAACGAUAUCAAUAAAAAAUAAAAAAUAGAA